Gossypium raimondii (Peruvian cotton) is the source of this 107-nucleotide small nucleolar RNA. It matches the Rfam family "Plant small nucleolar RNA R71". Rfam says of the family: R71 is a member of the C/D box family of snoRNAs containing the C (UGAUGA) and D (CUGA) box motifs. NCBI's taxonomy places the organism in Eukaryota, Viridiplantae, Streptophyta, Magnoliopsida, Malvales, Malvaceae. The record is from Rfam.
AACCCAUUAUGAGGGCAUCUUCUCAAUAAAUCCUUAAAUCUCUCCCAUACAUCAUAUAAUGUCUCUAAAUUGAUCUGAGCAAAGGAAGAAAUGUCAUUCCUCAAAUU